This 927-nucleotide long non-coding RNA is filed under the name Homo sapiens (human). RNAcentral describes it as "MIR9-3 host gene". The record is from RNAcentral. Lineage: Eukaryota; Metazoa; Chordata; Mammalia; Primates; Hominidae.
AUCGCAGGGCAGGCUGGGGGUCAGAUGCGGAUGAAGCGGGCCGGGCAGUGGAGCUGCAUGUUUGAGCUUGCCCUCUCCAGGCCUAAGGGCCAGAGCUUCUGCUCUUCUGCCUUCUUUGCUCCUAUCCUACCCUCGUGAAUAAUUUAAGCACAAUCACUGUUUUUCUAGCUGUCCGCAUUGACCCACCGCGACCUCGAAGCAGGUCCCAGGCGUGUGCAUUUAUAUGCAGAGUGACCAAGAAACUUCAGUAAUACUAGUUUGUGUCUUUGGAGUCCCACUUUUUGCCAGGGCUAGUGCUAACAGCUUCAGGAGAAUUCAGCCUCACCUUGACAGGACAUGCUCUGGAGUCAGAAGACAGCGAAAAGAGAAGCAGAAGCCCCGGUGGCAAGAGUCUGAAGCAGGAAGGAUGACUGUAGCCUGUGGAUUGUACUGCAGUAGGAAACUGUCCUAGCAAGGCUCCACUUUGCCCCAGCUUCAAGCUGGAAAGGAGGAGAACAUGAAACAUUGCUUGAAGACAAUGGCCGAGACAGCAGGUCCCACCCUGCACAGCCACCAGCAUCUCUCCCCUCAGCCCUGUCUCCUCUUCUGCAGUUGGGAUCUGCACAUUUAAGCCUGAAAUUGUCCUGUGAAGUGAAGUAUGAUCGGACAGCCUCUUUUCAGCUUUUAUGACAAUGGAGACAGAGGAAUUGUGGCUCUUGCCAAGGUCACAGGAUUGGAAUACAGAGCCAAGCCACCCCAGGACAUGCAAGAGCCUCAGAAGGGAAAAAAGCCCAGCAGGAAGGGAGAACAAGUAGCCUCUGUCCUGAAGUUGUAACAGCCAGGGGCCAGGAUGGAGGAGGAGGACCCCAUAAUCUGCCCAUCUGGGACUUGGCAGGGGACCUGGGAAAAUGUACCCCAACCCAUCCCUUAAGGGCCUUUGUCUUUGGC